ACGGCUCACCAAGGCAACGAUGCAUAGCCGACCUGAGAGGGUGAACGGCCACACUGGGACUGAGACACGGCCCAAACUCCUACGGGAGGCAGCAGUGGGGAAUAUUGCACAAUGGGGGAAACCCUGAUGCAGCGACGCCGCGUGAGUGAAGAAGUAUUUCGGUAUGUAAAGCUCUAUCAGCAGGGAAGAAGAUGACGGUACCUGAGUAAGAAGCCCCGGCUAACUAC
This 227-nucleotide ribosomal RNA is filed under the name uncultured bacterium. RNAcentral describes it as "partial 16S ribosomal RNA". It matches the Rfam family "Bacterial small subunit ribosomal RNA", at positions 260 to 504 of the family's 1533-position model. The record is from RNAcentral.